RNAcentral lists this ribosomal RNA (422 nucleotides) under uncultured bacterium. RNAcentral's name for it is "bacterial SSU rRNA". It matches the Rfam family "Bacterial small subunit ribosomal RNA", at positions 355 to 774 of the family's 1533-position model. The record is from RNAcentral.
UGAGGAAUAUUGGUCAAUGGACGGAAGUCUGAACCAGCCAUGCCGCGUGAAGGAUGAAGGCGUUCUGCGUUGUAAACUUCUUUUAUCUGGGAAGAAACCACAGAUUUCUAUUUGUGUUGACGGUACCAGAGGAAUAAGCACCGGCUAACUCCGUGCCAGCAGCCGCGGUAAUACGGAGGGUGCGAGCGUUAUCCGGAUUUACUGGGUUUAAAGGGUGCGUAGGCGGGCUAUUAAGUCAGAGGUGAAAUCUCCGGGCUCAACCUGGAAACUGCCUUUGAUACUAUUAGCCUUGAAUUAUGUUGAGGUUGGCGGAAUAUAACAUGUAGCGGUGAAAUGCUUAGAUAUGCUAUGGAACACCGAUUGCGAAGGCAGCUGGCUAAACAUAUAUUGACGCUGAUGCACGAAAGCGUGGGUAGCGAACA